This 395-nucleotide ribosomal RNA is filed under the name uncultured bacterium. RNAcentral's name for it is "bacterial SSU rRNA". It matches the Rfam family "Bacterial small subunit ribosomal RNA", at positions 957 to 1353 of the family's 1533-position model. The record is from RNAcentral.
UAACGCGAAGAACCUUACCAGGUCUUGACAUUUUCUGCUAACCUAAGAGAUUAGGCGUUCCCUUCGGGGACGGAAUGACAGGUGGUGCAUGGUUGUCGUCAGCUCGUGUCGUGAGAUGUUGGGUUAAGUCCCGCAACGAGCGCAACCCUUAUUGUCAGUUGCCAGCAUUUAGUUGGGCACUCUGGCGAGACUGCCGGUGACAAACCGGAGGAAGGUGGGGAUGACGUCAAAUCAUCAUGCCCCUUAUGACCUGGGCUACACACGUGCUACAAUGGACGGUACAACGAGUCGCGAAACCGCGAGGUCAAGCUAAUCUCUUAAAGCCGUUCUCAGUUCGGAUUGUAGGCUGCAACUCGCCUACAUGAAGUUGGAAUCGCUAGUAAUAGUGGAUCAGC